AUUGAACGCUGGCGGCAUGCUUUACACAUGCAAGUCGAACGGCAGCGCGGGCUUCGGCCUGGCGGCGAGUGGCGAACGGGUGAGUAAUACAUCGGAACGUGCCCAGUAGUGGGGGAUAGCUCGGCGAAAGCCGGAUUAAUACCGCAUACGACCUGAGGGUGAAAGCGGGGGAUCUUCGGACCUCGCGCUAUUGGACCGGCCGAUGGCAGAUUAGCUAGUUGGUGGGGUAAAGGCCUACCAAGGCGACGGUCUGUAGCUGGUCUGAGAGGACGACCAGCCACACUGGGACUGAGACACGGCCCAGACUCCUACGGGAGGCAGCAGUGGGGAAUUUUGGACAAUGGGCGAAAGCCUGAUCCAGCAAUGCCGCGUGUGUGAUGAAGGCCUUCGGGUUGUAAAGCACUUUUGGCGGGAACGAAAAGGACUGUGCCAAUACCACGGUUCGAUGACGGUACCCGCAGAAUAAGCACCGGUUAACUACGUG
This 484-nucleotide ribosomal RNA is filed under the name uncultured bacterium. RNAcentral describes it as "partial 16S ribosomal RNA". It matches the Rfam family "Bacterial small subunit ribosomal RNA", at positions 29 to 507 of the family's 1533-position model. The record is from RNAcentral.